RNAcentral lists this ribosomal RNA (421 nucleotides) under uncultured bacterium. Its description in RNAcentral is "partial 16S ribosomal RNA". It matches the Rfam family "Bacterial small subunit ribosomal RNA", at positions 360 to 773 of the family's 1533-position model. The record is from RNAcentral.
AAUAUUGGACAAUGGUCGAAAUCCUGAUCCAGCCAUGCCGCGUGUUUGAUGAAGGUCUUCGGAUUGUAAAGCACUUUAAGUUGGGAGUAAGGGCAGUAAGUUAUUACCUUGCUGUUUUGACGUUACCGACAGAAUAAGCACCGGCUAACUUCGUGCCAGCAGCCGCGGUAAUACGAAGGGUGCAAGCGUUAAUCGGAAUUACUGGGCGUAAAGCGCGCGUAGGUGGUUUGUUAAGUUGGAAGUGAAAGCCCCGGGCUCAACCUGGGAACUGCUUUCAAAACUGGCAAGCUAGAGUACGGUAGAGGGUAGUGGAAUUUCCUGUGUAGCGGUGAAAUGCGUAGAUAUAGGAAGGAACACCAGUGGCGAAGGCGACCACCUGGGCUAAUACUGACACUGAGGUGCGAAAGCGUGGGGAGCAAAC